RNAcentral lists this unclassified non-coding RNA (103 nucleotides) under soil metagenome. Its description in RNAcentral is "partial internal transcribed spacer 1". The record is from RNAcentral.
AAAACUUUUAUCCGGGAAUUCGUUUCGUCUUUCCGGAUUAUUUGUAUUCAAAUCCCACUCUUUAUAAAUAUAUCAAUUAUAUAAAACAAAAAAUAAAAAAAGA